GGAGUUUGGGCCGUGUCGCAGUCCCAAUGUGGCUGAUCACCCUCUCAGACCAGCUACGGAUCAUCGCCUUGGUGGGCCUUUACCUCACCAACUAGCUAAUCCGAUAUAGGCUCAUCCAAUAACAGGUUAAUGUUGCCAUUAACCCUUUCCCAAAUAAAUGGUAGUAUGUGGUAUUAGACACCGUUUCCAGUGCUUAUUCCUCAUUACUGGGUAGAUUCCUAUAUAUUACUCACCCGUACGCCACUUUACUCGUCCAUUGCUGAACUUUCUCGUUCGACUUGCAUGUAUUAAGCAUACCGCCAGCGUUCAUU
Molecule: ribosomal RNA, 311 nt
Filed under: uncultured Halomonas sp.
Lineage: Bacteria; Pseudomonadati; Pseudomonadota; Gammaproteobacteria; Oceanospirillales; Halomonadaceae
Description: partial 16S ribosomal RNA
Source: RNAcentral